CUGCCACCAGGUAUCUCCAUUCUGCCCUCAUGCCAUUUCCUGGGCUAGGCAGAAUACAUUCUCUUGCCCGCUUCCUAACUCGGGCAUCCCGUGCGAGGCAGAGACGGCCAGGCGUAACUUUGGAACCUGCCUCGUGGAGAAGGGGAAUCCCGAGUGUCGGCACUCAGUUCUGCCCUCGGGGCUGGCACCCUCAUUUCCAAAGGAUGCCCAGGGGUCGGUCAGUUUCCGCACCGGAAGCAGAUGACUUGGAAUCAGCUCUCAGGAAAGGAGAACUCCUUGUGCCUGACAGCACAGGCCAUGGGGAACGUGGGAGAAAGAGGCCAGUUUGUUAAUAUUCCCCUUCUCUCCACCAGUCCUAAUUCAGAACUCAGCGAGGCAUUUGUUUUCAGUCGCACCAUCCACGUGAGAGGAAGAGAGAAAUACACCCCCGUCUUCCACCUGCCAGUGAAGCGAUGAGAUGCCGGGCUGAUGGGCUCAUUAAGAGGCUUCUGUGUCAGAGUUGGUCUGGUAUCACUCCAAGGACUUAAGUGUGGGUAGGACGGGGCUUCCUGCCUGAUCACGAAGAAGUGAUGGAGACAGAGAACCUGUGUUCCGUCUGAGAUCCGGCUCCCUUUUAUUUCUCCAGCGGAAGUGGGUGAGGGUGGGCUGGCGUUAAGGAAGAGCUGUUUGCUUGCAAAUGCAGCCGCUGGUGACAAAGGAAAGAGUGAGGGAGUGGAUAGCUCCAAAGGAGCCUUGGCGCUCCUGCACGGAACAGCGACCCUGGGUGCACCCUUCAAGCAGGUGCCCUUCUCCUCUCCUCUCCUCAGACUCAGCCAUCCACGGCUGUGAGGACAGCUGGUCCUGCCUUCCCUGGACUGUCCCCUCCAGCCAACAUAAAGCCUGAGAUAACACGAAGAUGCUGAGAUUAUACCAGGAGCAGCUUCCGUAACGGCACCGUGAACCCAAGGAGCCCUCUCUGUGGGGCACUGCUGACUCCCGAGGUCAGAACCCCUGCAUGGUGGGUGGGGAAGCCCCCUCCCCCAGCUACUCCUCCAGCCCUGACCCAGGUUUCCUGCUCUGCUGCUGUGGCCAGACGCCACGCCAGACUGGAAGAGAAGCCUGGCUCAGUCAGGAUCCCUGACAAGGAGGACACAGCUACUCCAUGCCCAAGUCCUAGGUGCUUUGUGCUCAGCCUUCACCACAAAGGCCCGACGGCCCAGGUAUUGAUCUACAGCAUAUGGAGAAGUGCUUUAUGUGAAUUUACACUUCAAUGUAAGACAACAGGGAUGGCCCCAUACUAGGCAUCACCUGGUUGGCCCAAUAGGUAUCACUAAGACUAGGAAGCUAAUCACUGAAUAUAAUGAGAAUAAAGAUAGAGUAAAUUCUAUUUUUGUUUAAAUGUAUAUGUAUUUCAAUAUAGGAAUAUAGCAGGAAAAAGUCUUAAAUUGCUAAAAUGUUAAAAACCAUUAUCUCCUGGUAGUUGGAUUUUGCUUGACUGAGAGAAUUUUUCUCCUUGUUUUUCUCUGUAUUUUGUCAUUUUCUCACAAUAAAUGUAUUCUACUGUACUCUUUUUAAAAUAAAGGAAGAUAAAGAACAUUGAGGAAGUAAUUAAA
Myotis lucifugus (little brown bat) is the source of this 1592-nucleotide long non-coding RNA. RefSeq lists it as uncharacterized. The transcript is spliced from 2 exons. The record is from RefSeq and is a predicted model, not a curated record. Lineage: Eukaryota; Metazoa; Chordata; Mammalia; Chiroptera; Vespertilionidae.